Otolemur garnettii (small-eared galago) is the source of this 107-nucleotide small nuclear RNA. The record is from Ensembl. NCBI's taxonomy places the organism in Eukaryota, Metazoa, Chordata, Mammalia, Primates, Galagidae.
GUGCUUGCUUGGGCAGCACAUAUACAAAAAUUGGAAUGAUACAGAGAAGAUUAGCAUGGCCCCUGUGUAAGAAUGACAUGCACAUUCGUGAAGUGUGCCAUAUUUUU